GAGUUUGAUCCUGGCUCAGAACGAACGCUGGCGGCAUGCCUCAUACAUGCAAGUCGAACGCUCUGCAGGCUUCGGUCUGUGGGGAGUGGCGCACGGGUGAGUAGCGCGUGGGAACCUGCCCAACAGUGGGGGAUAACCGAUGGAAACGUCGGCUAAUACCGCAUGUGCCCGGGGCAACUCGGGGAAAGAUUUAUCGCUGUUGGAGGGGCCCGCGUCGGAUUAGCUAGUUGGUGGGGUAACGGCCUACCAAGGCGAUGAUCCGUAGCUGGUCUGAGAGGAUGAUCAGCCACACUGGGACUGAGACACGGCCCAGACUCCUACGGGAGGCAGCAGUAGGGAAUAUUGGACAAUGGGGGAAACCCUGAUCCAGCAAUGCCGCGUGAGUGAGGAAGGCCUUAGGGUUGUAAAGCUCUUUCGCACGCGACGAUGAUGACGGUAGCGUGAGAAGAAGCCCCGGCUAACUUCGUGCCAGCAGCCGCAGUAAG
RNAcentral lists this ribosomal RNA (485 nucleotides) under uncultured bacterium. Its description in RNAcentral is "bacterial SSU rRNA". It matches the Rfam family "Bacterial small subunit ribosomal RNA", at positions 9 to 524 of the family's 1533-position model. The record is from RNAcentral.